CAGUCGCCACGGUAAAACGUAGGGUGCAAGCGUUAUCCGGAAUUAUUGGGCGUAAAGAGCUCGUAGGCGGUUUGUCGCGUCUGCUGUGAAAACUGGAGGUUCAACCUCCAGCCUGCAGUGGGUACGGGCAGACUAGAGUGCGGUAGGGGAGAUUGGAAUUCCUGGUGUAGCGGUGGAAUGCGCAGAUAUCAGGAGGAACACCGAUGGCGAAGGCAGAUCUCUGGGCCGUAACUGACGCUGAGGAGCGAAAGCAUGGGGAGCGAACAGGAUUAGAUACCCCAGUAGUCCCUGUCUCUUAUAC
This 301-nucleotide ribosomal RNA is filed under the name uncultured bacterium. Its description in RNAcentral is "partial 16S ribosomal RNA". It matches the Rfam family "Bacterial small subunit ribosomal RNA", at positions 509 to 807 of the family's 1533-position model. The record is from RNAcentral.